CGGGUGAGUAACACGGGGGUAACCUGACCAAACGACUGGGAUAAAUCCGGGAAAACGGGGCUAAUACCGGAUAAAAAUUUGAACCGCAUGGGUAGAAAUUGAAAGGCGGCUUCGGCUGUCACUUAUCGAUGGACCCGCGGCGCAUUAGCGAGUUGGGGGGGUAACCGCGCACCAAGGCAACGAUGCGGAGCCGACCUGAGAGGG
Molecule: ribosomal RNA, 204 nt
Filed under: Bacillus anthracis (anthrax bacterium)
Lineage: Bacteria; Bacillati; Bacillota; Bacilli; Caryophanales; Bacillaceae
Description: partial 16S ribosomal RNA
Rfam family: Bacterial small subunit ribosomal RNA
Source: RNAcentral